GGGCUUGUAGCUCAGGUGGUGAGAGCGCACGCCUGAUAAGCGUGAGGUCGAUGGUUCGAGUCCAUCCAAGCCCACCA
This 77-nucleotide transfer RNA is filed under the name Tepidanaerobacter acetatoxydans Re1. RNAcentral describes it as "tRNA-Ile (GAT) (tRNA-Ile-GAT-1-1)". It matches the Rfam family "tRNA". From Rfam's summary of the family: Transfer RNA (tRNA) molecules are approximately 80 nucleotides in length. Their secondary structure includes four short double-helical elements and three loops (D, anti-codon, and T loops). RNAcentral also lists the same sequence under 2 other names. The record is from RNAcentral. Lineage: Bacteria; Bacillati; Bacillota; Clostridia; Thermosediminibacterales; Tepidanaerobacteraceae.